AACGGGGCGUCCACCCCAAGGUCCCCUGACACGGUCUGCACUGAGGUCACCAGCAAAGGCCAAGACAGCAAGGCCAGGCCCCAAAGAUGGAAGCUACAGGGAGGCCAGUUUAGACUUGAUUGAAGCCAACAGGAUUCCAAAUUGAUGUAGUGGAAGAGGUUGCAACUGGGCUCAAGCAGGGUGAAAACCUUCCAGGAUGGCCAGCAGAGGAGAGCACGCACUCCGUAGUCAAGAGCCAGAGGGGGAGGGACUUCCCUGGUGGCG
Kogia breviceps (pygmy sperm whale) is the source of this 264-nucleotide non-coding RNA. Lineage: Eukaryota; Metazoa; Chordata; Mammalia; Artiodactyla; Physeteridae. The record is from RefSeq and is a predicted model, not a curated record.